AAGUCGUAACAAGGUUUCCGUAGGUGAACCUGCGGAAGGAUCAUUAUUGAAUAUGAUUGAUGGGUUGUAGCUGGCUCUUCGGGGCAUGUGCACGCCUGUCUUGACUUUAUUCAUCCACCUGUGCACCUUUUGUAGUCUUGGGGGUUGAGAGCAGUCAAUAAUCGGAUGACCAUUUGGUCACUCCGGGUGUGAGGAAUGCUGAGUGCGAAAGCAUACAGCUCUUCUCAAAGUGACUUGUAAUCCUCUCCUUCAAGUACUAUGUAUUCAUAUACCCAUAGUAUGUUGUAGAAUGUGAUCAAUGGGCCUAAGUGCCUAUAACAAUCAUAUACAACUUUCAGCAACGGAUCUCUUGGCUCUC
RNAcentral lists this unclassified non-coding RNA (358 nucleotides) under Calvatia cyathiformis. Its description in RNAcentral is "partial internal transcribed spacer region". The stretch from base 1 to 46 matches the Rfam family "Eukaryotic small subunit ribosomal RNA", at positions 1786 to 1831 of the family's 1831-position model. The record is from RNAcentral. Lineage: Eukaryota; Fungi; Basidiomycota; Agaricomycetes; Agaricales; Lycoperdaceae.